UCUUUGAACUCUCCAACACACCCAAACAUAAACCUUAACCAUUAACCCCUCUCUCUUACUCUCCGACCACCGUAUCCACCGUCGUACCCUCUGUCCGUCGCGGUAUUCGGAGGAGAUUCAGCUAAGAGGGUGGUUAUUACGGACACUAGUGUCCGGAGCAGUGAUCGUGUGGUGAAUCUGGUGCUAUAUACUGGCCAAGGACUUAGAUAUAGGAAGUUGUUUUAACCACGAGCAUAGAGAAGCUUGGUAAAGCCGGUGAAACAGUGAAGGUUGCUCCUGGACAUUUCCGCAACCACCUUAUGCCCAAGUUUCUAGCGGUUCCAAGUAUUGAGAAGUAUGCUUAUCUUGUCCGGGAACAGCGCAAGAUCUACCAACAUGAGGAGGAAGAAGAGGAGGUUAAAGUAGUUAAAGAGUCUAAGGAAGAUUCUUGCUUUAGAUAUACCAACAUGAGGAGGAAGAAGAGGAGAUUAAAGUAGUUAAAGAGUCUAAGGAAGAUAAGCUGAAAGAAUUCGAGAAGGCAGCAAGAUGUCUUGAUAAUUCUAAGCUGGUAGAAAGGCAGCUUAGUGUGCGCAUCACACCUGAUAAUGUGCAUCUACUUUCUCCUUUGACGACUUUUGGUGAGUAUGAGGUGCCACUACGCUUCCCAAAAUCUAUCCAUUUGCCGGAGGGGAAGGUUCAGUGGACUCUUGCAGUUAAAUCCGGGGUAAAUAAAGAUGUUCUUGUUAGCUUAAUGAGCACUCAAGGUCCCAGCUUAUUGUGGGAUGUCAGUUUUGUCUUUUGCAAUUUGAUAACUAGUUAUUGUAGUGAUAAAGUUUCGUAUUUUAAGUAAAAGAUGUUCUAAAAGUUGCCCGUUCGAUUUUGUAUUUUUUACUUAUAAA
Quercus lobata is the source of this 878-nucleotide long non-coding RNA. RefSeq lists it as uncharacterized. The transcript is spliced from 5 exons. The record is from RefSeq and is a predicted model, not a curated record. Lineage: Eukaryota; Viridiplantae; Streptophyta; Magnoliopsida; Fagales; Fagaceae.